CACGGAAUCGAGAGCUCCA
This 19-nucleotide small nuclear RNA is filed under the name Arabidopsis thaliana (thale cress). RNAcentral's name for it is "snRNA_03693". Lineage: Eukaryota; Viridiplantae; Streptophyta; Magnoliopsida; Brassicales; Brassicaceae. The record is from RNAcentral.